RNAcentral lists this ribosomal RNA (253 nucleotides) under uncultured bacterium. RNAcentral's name for it is "partial 16S ribosomal RNA". It matches the Rfam family "Bacterial small subunit ribosomal RNA", at positions 524 to 776 of the family's 1533-position model. The record is from RNAcentral.
UACGAAGGGGGCUCGCGUUGCUCGGACUUACUGGGCGUAAAGGGCGCGUAGGCGGGUGUUUAAGUCAGAGGUUAAAUCCCAGGGCUCAACCCUGGAACUGCCUUUGAUACUGGGCACCUAGAGUUCGGGAGAGGUGUGUGGAACUCCGAGUGUAGAGGUGAAAUUCGUAGAUAUUCGGAAGAACACCAGUGGCGAAGGCGACACACUGGCCCGAUACUGACGCUGAGGCGCGAAAGCGUGGGGAGCAAACAGG